CUCAUGCCAAACUCUCAUCUGCAUCUUGUGAACAGAUAGUUUGCUGUUGUAAUGAGUGAUGUUGGAAAGAGCACAGUGCCGGACAUGUAAUGGAUGCUGGAUGAAUGUCAGAUCUCAUGGACAUGCCAAGCCAGCAACAAUUCUGAGAAGGUAUCCCAAUGUGUAAAGAUAAUGUUGACUAGAGUCUUGGGGACAAAGAAGUUGGUAUGCCAGUUCCUGGGUCACAGACCAUGACUGUAUGGCAGAACUCAAGAGAAAGACUGUCCAUCACAGAUUUUAGUUACUUCCUGGGAAGAGCAUAUGGAUAUAGCCUCCAAAGCCUGCACCUUCCACCAACUGAUGUUCAACAUUUUUGAGAGGUGUUUUUGAGCUUUGUUUGAAAGUUAAAAGUCUGCUGAUAGGAAUAAGAAAACCCUGAUGGCUCAUAAUCACAAGAUCCAAAUGAAACCCCCACAUUUUAUUCUCUCCUCUUGUCUCAAACUUUCUUUAGAGCCAUUAAUGUACCCGUGAUGGGCUUAGAACAAUGCUCUGAGUGUGUAUAAAUGAAUAACUGCUCACAACAGGCCUAAUGGCACUAUGAGCAGGAAUUAAAAUUAGUCUCCUUUCUGUGAGGCUUUGAAGGCCUUUGACUGGCUUUGUUUCAAAUAGACUAAUUGUAGUGUGUUGUACCUACAGAGAUCAGAGUCUCUAUCUACAUGAGGAUGAUGAUAAAAUGUUAGAAAUGGAGGCAGUGAUUUUGAGACAUUGUGAGUGAAAUUAAUCCCAUGGGUUGGUAUGCUUAAAGUGGUUAAAAUAACAAACUUUGUUAAAUGAGUUUAUUUCAACUUAAAAAGUGGAAUAUAUAAGAAGCUGUUGAAUUCUGUACUUUAAAUGGGUGAAUUAUAUGGCAUGCCAAUAAUAUGUAAUAUAUUAUUAUAUAUUAAUAAAGCUGCUUUGGGAAAAUAUA
Molecule: non-coding RNA, 946 nt
Organism: Cricetulus griseus (Chinese hamster)
Lineage: Eukaryota; Metazoa; Chordata; Mammalia; Rodentia; Cricetidae
Source: RefSeq, a predicted model, not a curated record